AUUGAACGCUGGCGGCAGGCCUAACACAUGCAAGUCGGGCGGUAACAGGAAGUAGCUUGCUACUUUGCUGACGAGCGGCGGACGGGUGAGUAAUGUCUGGGAAACUGCCUGAUGGAGGGGGAUAACUACUGGAAACGGUAGCUAAUACCGCAUAACGUCGCAAGACCAAAGAGGGGGACCUUCGGGCCUCUUGCCAUCAGAUGUGCCCAGAUGGGAUUAGCUAGUAGGUGGGGUAAAGGCUCACCUAGGCGACGAUCCCUAGCUGGUCUGAGAGGAUGACCAGCCACACUGGAACUGAGACACGGUCCAGACUCCCACGGGAGGCAGCAGUGGGGAAUAUUGCACAAUGGGCGCAAGCCUGAUGCAGCCAUGCCGCGUGUAUGAAGAAGGCCUUAGGGUUGUAAAGUACUUUCAGCGGGGAGGAAGGUGUUGAGGUUAAUAACCUCAGCAAUUGACGUUACCCGCAGAAGAAGCACCGGCUAACUCCGUGCCAGCCGCCGCAGUAA
This 506-nucleotide ribosomal RNA is filed under the name uncultured bacterium. RNAcentral's name for it is "partial 16S ribosomal RNA". It matches the Rfam family "Bacterial small subunit ribosomal RNA", at positions 30 to 523 of the family's 1533-position model. The record is from RNAcentral.